UGACGUCACAGCGUCAUCAUGCUCUGGGAGGUGGGGUGACGCCUCUGAGCCCUUUCUCAGGAUGCCGAGGCUCCAGGGGACGGGGUGGGGAUGAUAUCACAGUCCCAGGUUCUCGGAGAUGAGGUGCCAUCAAGGAGCCCUGCACCAUCCCACUGCCUUUCUCCGUCCUCCAGGACCCUAUGCUAGCCCUGAAUCAGGAGACAAGGAGUUGCUGUUACUGAUCAGUCUAUGAAACCCCUGCCAUGCGGACAGACUGCAAGCGAGCUGCGCUGAGAAGUGACUUCUGAUUCCACCAGAAUGACAGAGGCUUUAGGAACAGGUUGGAGGUCUCUGGGCAGCACUCUGCCCCUCUCUCACCUCAUCCCCCAAAACUCUGCGCUUAGGGAUUCUUUUUUUCCAAGAAUGCACACUUCAUACUGA
Molecule: long non-coding RNA, 420 nt
Organism: Odocoileus virginianus texanus
Lineage: Eukaryota; Metazoa; Chordata; Mammalia; Artiodactyla; Cervidae
Source: RefSeq, a predicted model, not a curated record